UAGGCUCUAGGGUGUUUUCAUCCUAA
This 26-nucleotide non-coding RNA is filed under the name Rattus norvegicus (Norway rat). The record is from RNAcentral. Lineage: Eukaryota; Metazoa; Chordata; Mammalia; Rodentia; Muridae.